RNAcentral lists this ribosomal RNA (366 nucleotides) under uncultured bacterium. RNAcentral's name for it is "bacterial SSU rRNA". It matches the Rfam family "Bacterial small subunit ribosomal RNA", at positions 157 to 507 of the family's 1533-position model. The record is from RNAcentral.
CAGAUGCUAAUACCGCAUAAAACCUAACACCGCAUGGUGUAGGGUUGAAAGAUGGUUUCGGCUAUCACUUUAGGAUGGACCCGCGGUGCAUUAGUUAGUUAGGUGAGGUAAAAGGCUCACCAAGACCGUGAUGCAUAGCGACCUGAGAGGGUAAUCGGCCACACUGGGACUGAGACACGGCCCAGACUCCUUACGGGAGGCAGCAGUAGGGAAUCUUCCACAAUGGACGAAAGUCUGAUGGAGCAACGCCGCGUGAGUGAAGAAGGUUUUCGGAUCGUAAAACUCUGUUGUUGGAGAAGAAUGUAUCUGAUAGUAACUGAUCAGGUAGUGACGGUAUCCAACCAGAAAGCCACGGCUAACUACGUG